GACGAACGCUGGCGGCGUGCUUAACACAUGCAAGUCGAACGGAAAGGCCCUGCUUUUGUGGGGUGCUCGAGUGGCGAACGGGUGAGUAACACGCGAGUAACCUGCCCUUGACUUUGGGAUAACUUCAGGAAACUGGGGCUAAUACCGGAUAGGAGCUCCUGCUGCAUGGUGGGGGUUGGAAAGUUUCGGCGGUUGGGGAUGGACUCGCGGCUUAUCAGCUUGUUGGUGAGGUAGUGGCUUACCAAGGCUUUGACGGGUAGCCGGCCUGAGAGGGUGACCGGCCACAUUGGGACUGAGAUACGGCCCAGACUCCUACGGGAGGCAGCAGUGGGGAAUAUUGCACAAUGGGCGGAAGCCUGAUGCAGCAACGCCGCGUGCGGGAUGACGGCCUUCGGGUUGUAAACCGCUUUCGCCUGUGACGAAGCGUGAGUGACGGUAAUGGGUAAAGAAGCACCGGCUAACUACGUG
This 468-nucleotide ribosomal RNA is filed under the name uncultured bacterium. Its description in RNAcentral is "partial 16S ribosomal RNA". It matches the Rfam family "Bacterial small subunit ribosomal RNA", at positions 28 to 507 of the family's 1533-position model. The record is from RNAcentral.